RNAcentral lists this ribosomal RNA (460 nucleotides) under uncultured bacterium. Its description in RNAcentral is "partial 16S ribosomal RNA". It matches the Rfam family "Bacterial small subunit ribosomal RNA", at positions 338 to 795 of the family's 1533-position model. The record is from RNAcentral.
CCUACGGGAGGCAGCAGUGAGGAAUAUUGGUCAAUGGGCUUACGCCUGAACCAGCCAAGUCGCGUGAGGGAAGACUGCCCUAUGGGUUGUAAACCUCUUUUGUCAGGGAGCAAUUGGCGCUACGUGUAGCGUUAUCGAGAGUACCUGAAGAAAAAGCAUCGGCUAACUCCGUGCCAGCAGCCGCGGUAAUACGGAGGAUGCGAGCGUUAUCCGGAUUUAUUGGGUUUAAAGGGUGCGUAGGCGGAAUGCCAAGUCAGCGGUAAAAUCGCGGGGCUCAACCUCGCUCCGCCGUUGAAACUGGCGGUCUUGAGUGGGCGAGAAGUAGGCGGAAUGCGUGGUGUAGCGGUGAAAUGCAUAGAUAUCACGCAGAACUCCGAUUGCGAAGGCAGCAUACCGGCGCCCAACUGACGCUGAAGCACGAAAGCGUGGGUAUCGAACAGGAUUAGAUACCCGGGUAGUC